AGAGUUUGAUCCUGGCUCAGAUUGAACGCUGGCGGCAGGCUUAACACAUGCAAGUCGAGCGGUAACAGAAAGUAGCUUGCUACUUUGCUUUAGAGCGGCGGACGGGUGAGGAACGCGUGGGAAUCUACCCAGUAGCGGGGGGUAACUUGUGGAAACGCAAGCUAAUACCGCAUACGCCCUAAGGGGGGAAGUAGGGGGGAUCUUCGAACCUUACACUAUUGGAUGAGCCCGCGUCGGAUUAGCUAGUUGGUGAGGUAAAGGCUCACCAAGGCAACGAUCCGUAGCUGGUCUGAGAGGAUGAUCAGCCACACUGGGACUGAGACACGGCCCAGACUCCUACGGGAGGCAGCAGUGGGGAAUAUUGGACAAUGGGCGCAAGCCUGAUCCAGCCAUACCGCGUGUGUGAAGAAGGCUCUAGGGUUGUAAAGCACUUUAAGUUGGGAGGAAAGGGUGAUGGUCAAUAUCCAUUAUCUGUGACGUUAGCCUACAAAAUAAGCACCGGCAAACUUCGUGCCAGCAGCCGCGGUAAUACGAAGGGUGCGAGCGUUAAUCGGAAUUACUGGGCGUAAAGAGCACGUAGGUGGUUUAGUAAGCGGAAUGUGAAAGCCCAGGGCUCAACCUUGGAACUGCAUUCCGAACUGCUAGGCUAGAGUAUGGUAGAGGUAAGCGGAAUUUCCUGUGUAGCGGUGAAAUGCGUAGAUAUAGGAAGGAACAUCAGUUGCGAAGGCGGCUUACUGGACCAAUACUGACACUGAGGUGCGAAAGCGUGGGUAGCGAACAGGAUUAGAUACCCUGGUAGUCCACGCCGUAAACGAUGUCUACUAGCCGUUGGGAGGCUUGACCUCUUAGUGGCGCAGCUAACGCGUUAAGUAGACCGCCUGGGGAGUACGGCCGCAAGGUUAAAACUCAAAUGAAUUGACGGGAGCCCGCACAAGCGGUGGAGCAUGUGGUUUAAUUCGAUGCAACGCGAAGAACCUUACCUGGCCUUGACAUGUAGCGAACUUUCCAGAGAUGCUGAGGUGCCUUCGGGAACUGUGAGACAGGUGCUGCAUGGCUGUCGUCAGCUCGUGUUGUGAAAUGUUGGGUUAAGUCCCGCAACGAGCGCAACCCUUAUACUUAGUUGCCAGCACGUAAUGGUGGGAACUCUAAGGAGACUGCCGGUGACAAACCGGAGGAAGGUGGGGAUGACGUCAAGUCAUCAUGGCCCUUAUGGGCAGGGCUACACACGUGCUACAAUGGGUGGUACAGAGGGAUGCCAACUCGCGAGAGGGAGCUAAUCCCAGAAAACCAUUCGUAGUCCGGAUUGCAGUCUGCAACUCGACUGCAUGAAGUCGGAAUCGCUAGUAAUCGCGGAUCAGAACGCCGCGGUGAAUACGUUCCCGGGCCUUGUACACACCGCCCGUCACACCAUGGAAGUGGGUUGCACCAGAAGUAGUUAGUCUAACCCUCGGGAGGACGAUUACCACGGUGUGAUUCAUGACUGGGGUGAAGUCGUAACAAGGUAACCA
Molecule: ribosomal RNA, 1508 nt
Filed under: uncultured prokaryote
Description: partial 16S ribosomal RNA
Rfam family: Bacterial small subunit ribosomal RNA
Source: RNAcentral